AACGAACGCUGGCGGCAGGCUUAACACAUGCAAGUCGAACGGCUGUAGCAAUACAGCAGUGGCAGACGGGUGAGUAACACGUGGGAACCUUCCUAGGGGUACGGAACAACUCAGGGAAACUUGAGCUAAUACCGUAUACGUCCGUAAGGAGAAAGAUUCAUCGCCCCUAGACGGGCCCGCGUCGGAUUAGGUAGUUGGUGGGGUAACGGCCUACCAAGCCUACGAUCCGUAGCUGAUCUGAGAGGANGAUCAGCCAC
Molecule: ribosomal RNA, 257 nt
Filed under: uncultured bacterium
Lineage: Bacteria
Description: partial 16S ribosomal RNA
Rfam family: Bacterial small subunit ribosomal RNA
Source: RNAcentral